AUGGAAGAUUCAGAGGAAGAGGAUGCGUCAGCGAAGGAAGAUGCAGAGGAGGCCGCUGGUGGUGGCGAGUGGUGUGCCCGCGGUGGAUGUUGUGUCGGUCGAUUUGUCGAGCUCCGACAACGACAAAUAGCACGAGGAUCAUGGCGGCAAUGGGAGAUUCGGAGGAAGAGGAUGUGUCGGGGAAGGAAGAUGAGGAGGAGGCCGAUGGUACCGACGAGGUAUGCAUCCCCUCGUGGGAGGAGGCGGAAAGGGAGUAUGAGUGGGCGCUACCCAAGGAGGAGCACCGGGGUGGGAUGGCUCAUCGCGCACGUCGUGUUGGAAAGGUCCAUCGGCGACGAGCGUGAGAUAGUCGAGAAUCACCAUGACAGCGAGAACAAGAGCUGCUCUUUUAGCGCCGAUGACUUGAAGGUACCAUGGUGGAGCAUCCAUGAUGCCGAUGAGUCGCUCGGGGAAGGCGUAUUUGAUCUACCUCUCUUCCGAUAA
This 483-nucleotide ribosomal RNA is filed under the name Triticum aestivum (bread wheat). RNAcentral describes it as "partial small subunit ribosomal RNA". The record is from RNAcentral. Lineage: Eukaryota; Viridiplantae; Streptophyta; Magnoliopsida; Poales; Poaceae.